Molecule: ribosomal RNA, 433 nt
Filed under: uncultured bacterium
Lineage: Bacteria
Description: partial 16S ribosomal RNA
Rfam family: Bacterial small subunit ribosomal RNA
Source: RNAcentral
AACGAACGCUGGCGGCAUGCCUAACACAUGCAAGUCGAACGAGACCUUCGGGUCUUGUGGCGCACGAGUGCGUAACGCGUGGGAAGCUUCCCUUAUGUUCGGCAUAACUCCCCGACAGGGAUGCUAAUACCAGAUCAUAUCUACGAACCAAAGAUAUAUCGCCCUUGGUGGUGCCCUCGUUGGAUUAGCUAGUUGUUAGGGUAAAAGCCUACUACGGCGACGAUGCAUAGCUGGUCUGAGAGGCAGAUCAGCGACACUGGGACUGAGAAGCGGCCCAGACUCCUACGGGAGGCAGCAGUGGGUAAUAGUGGACAAUGGGGGGAAGGAUGAUGGUGCAAUGACGGGAGAGCGAUGAAGGCAGUAGGGAUGUAAAGCUCUUUUAACCAGGAUGAUAAUGACAGUACCGGGAGAAUAAGCCCCGGCUAACUACGUG